Molecule: long non-coding RNA, 1162 nt
Organism: Medicago truncatula (barrel medic)
Lineage: Eukaryota; Viridiplantae; Streptophyta; Magnoliopsida; Fabales; Fabaceae
Exons: 5
Source: RefSeq, a predicted model, not a curated record
UUACAAAGGAGAGAAGAAGUUGGUCAAUCUCUCUAAGUGACUAGAGACACAGUCCAGUUUAUUAUAUUUACACCCCCUCCCACACUAUUUCUAUAUUGGUGUCAGAAAAUGAACACAAAUUAUCUCACUUUUUCUUAUGUGUUAAUUACUUUGUUGUUACCCCUAGCAUCGUCAACAAUUUCAUAUCACCCAAAACAUAUUCCAGCUAUCUAUGUUUUUGGUGAUUCCCUUGUUGACAGUGGUAACAACAAUUAUCUUCCAAUUCUAUCAAAUGCAAAAUUUCCUCCUUACGGUAUAGACUUUGGUGGUGCCAAACCUACUGGUCGAUGCACUAAUGGAAAAACAACUGUUGUUUACAUAGCUAUACAUCUAGGGCUACCCUUUGUUCCUCCCUAUUUGGGACUUUCAAAGGCUCAAAGAAACAAAAUCACGACGGGCAUAAAUUUUGCGUCUACUGGUUCGGGGGCAUUCUUCCAGAAACUAACAAUAUAAAGUCAUUCACAAGGGUUAUUAAGAAUAACUUGCCACAUAUGUUUGAUGAAAAAGAAAAAUUAUAGAGGCAUCUAUCUGCAUCCUUGUUUGUUGUCUCUACUGGUGUGAACACUUGGUUAACAGAACCUUCCGUGGCUCUAGAAAAUUUUCUUCCUAUCUGCUAAAAGAAUUUUCCCUACGCUUGCAGAAAAUUUACAACCUAGGAGCUAGAAGGUUUUUCACGAAUAAUCUUGCGCCACUUGGGUGCUUUCCAUCAUUUGCUCCAAAACCAAGACCAAGAGGAGAAUGCAAUGAGAAUAUAAACAGGGAAAUUUCCUAUUAUAAUAAUCGUUUGCCUAAUGUACUUCAAAAGCUGCAGUCUCAACUUCCUGGCUUUACUUUUAUGCAUUCAGAUCUUUAUGAGUCCUUUAUGUAUCUAAGAGAAAUUGGAUACAAAUAUGGGAUAUCAGAAACAUGGAAACCUUGUGCAAACAGAAACACUCAUCUCUUCUUUGAUGAUCACGCGUCUCAAAUUGCCAACAAAAUAUAUGCAACACAUUGCUUUAUUGAGAAGACAAUAUGCAAGCCAUCUGGCUUCAAGAUGCUCUAAUUAAUAAUCAGUUGUAUUAUUUGAACAACAAAAUUCAAAUAUACGCCCUAAGUAUAAUAUAUGUCUAUGGUUCUAUUUUCA